This 398-nucleotide ribosomal RNA is filed under the name uncultured eukaryote. Its description in RNAcentral is "SSU rRNA". It matches the Rfam family "Eukaryotic small subunit ribosomal RNA", at positions 587 to 989 of the family's 1831-position model. The record is from RNAcentral.
AGCUCCAAUAGCGUAUAUUAAAGUUGUUGCAGUUAAAAGCUCGUAGUUGGAUUUCUGGUAGGAGUGACCGUACCAGACUUGAUUGUCUGUGUAAUGGUUAUCUUCAGCCAUCCUUGUAGUGAAAUUUUCUGGCAUUAAUUUGUUGGAGAUGGGAACUGCAUCGUUUACUGUGAAAAAUUAGAGUGUUUAAAGCAGGCAAUAAGCUUGAAUACAUUAGCAUGGAAUAAUAAGAUAGGACUUUGGUACUAUUUGUUGGUUUGCAUACCAAAUUAAUGAUCAACAGGAACAGUUUGAGGAUAUUCGUAUGAACAUGUCAGAGGUGAAAUUCUUGGAUUUUGAUCAGACGAACUACUGCGAAAGCAUUUAUCAAGGAUGUUUUCAUUAAUCAAGAACAGGAG